CCCAUUUCACGGAGGAGCAGGCGCGACAUUACCCAAUGGUCGCAGACCGAGGUAGUGACGAUAAAUAACGAUACCGGACUCAUCCGAGGCCCGGUAAUCGGAAUGAGUACACUUUAAAUCCUUUAACGAGGAACAAUUGGAGGGCAAGUCUGGUGCCAGCAGCCGCGGUAAUUCCAGCUCCAAUAGCGUAUAUUAAAGUUGUUGCGGUUAAAAAGCUCGUAGUUGGAUCUCGGCAGGUAGGGGGCGGUUCGUUUCUGACGGCACUGCCCCAUUUACCUGUGUUUUUGACGGAGGUUUCACGGUGAUUUUCAUCGAUUGUCGUGAUACGCCGUCAGGUUUACUUUGAAAAAAUUAGAGUGCUCAAAGCAGGCUACAAGCUUGAAUAUUUGUGCAUGGAAUAAUGGAAUAGGAAGUCGUUUCUAUUUUUUUGGUUUUCGGAAAUUGACUUAAUGAUUAAUAGGGACAGCCGGGGGCAUUCGUACUCAGACGACAGAGGUGAAAUUCUUGGACCGUCUGAGGACGAGCUACUGCGAAAGCAUUUGCCAAGAGUGUUUUCAUUAAUCAAGAACGAAAGUUAGAGGUUCGAAGGCGAUCAGAUACCGCCCUAGUUCUAACCAUAAACGAUGCUGACUAGCGAUCCGUAGCUGUUUUCUAUGUAGGCUCUACGGGAAGCUUCCGGGAAACCAAAGUUUUUGAGUUCCGGGGGAAGUAUGGUUGCAAAGCUGAAACUUAAAGGAAUUGACGGAAGGGCACCACCAGGAGUGGAGCCUGCGGCUUAAUUUGACUCAACACGGGAAAUCUCACCAGGCCCGGACACUGGAAGGAUUGACAGAUUGAGAGCUCUUUCUCGAUUCAGUGGGUGGUGGUGCAUGGCCGUUCUUAGUUGGUGGAGUGAUUUGUCUGGUUAAUUCCGAUAACGAACGAGACUCUGUCCUGCUAAAUAGGUAUGCCGUCUCUUUUGCGGUAUACAUUCUUCUUAGAGGGACUGGCGGCGUCUAGUCGCACGAGAUUGAGCAAUAACAGGUCUGUGAUGCCCUUAGAUGUUCUGGGCCGCACACGCGCUACACUGAAUGGAUCAGCGUGUUUUCCCUUCCCGAGAGGGACGGGUAACCCGUUGAACCCCAUUCGUGGUAGGGAUCGGAGCUUGCAAUUAUUCUCCGUGAACCAGGAAUUCCCAGUAAGCGCAAGUCAUAAGCUUGCGUUGAUUACGUCCCUGCCCUUUGUACACACCGCCCGUCGCUACUACCGAUUGAACGUUUUAGUGAGAAAUCUGGAUUCGACCUCCUUGGGUUAAUUCCUAGGGUGUGUCGGAGAAGUUUUCAAACUUGAGCGUUUAG
RNAcentral lists this ribosomal RNA (1337 nucleotides) under uncultured marine eukaryote. RNAcentral describes it as "SSU rRNA". It matches the Rfam family "Eukaryotic small subunit ribosomal RNA", at positions 409 to 1776 of the family's 1831-position model. The record is from RNAcentral.